This is an RNA transcript of Pyrus x bretschneideri (Chinese white pear), 1645 nucleotides long. RefSeq lists it as uncharacterized. The record is from RefSeq and is a predicted model, not a curated record. The transcript has 5 exons. NCBI's taxonomy places the organism in Eukaryota, Viridiplantae, Streptophyta, Magnoliopsida, Rosales, Rosaceae.
UUUACCCAAUUUUCAUUUCCUUUGAACACCACCAUGGCACCAUCCAUUGGUGUAUCCAGAAUUAUCCAGGGGUCAUGUAAGGGAUCCAAGGAUUUUUAAAUGCGUCGCAAAUGGUGUCGCUGAUAAUAAUAUAGCGCCUAAAUGUAUUAAGUUUUCAAUUAGGCGCUUUAUUUUUCAGACGAAAAAGAACGGGCGCGCCUUUCAUUCUUCCCUCCCUCCACCUUCUCCUCUUUCAUAUUCGACUGAAAAAUGAGAGCCCUAAUCCAUCCAAUCAGAGAUUUUGGGAGAAUCAUCGGAAAUUAUGGACCACAAUCGGAGAUCCUGAAGCGCAAUCGAAUAUUUCCGAUUAAAGCUUAAAGUUUUACGCUAGCAGCAGAUAGAUGUUGGCGGAGAAUGGCAGCGGCGGUGCCAACAAUAUUGGUGGCGAUAAGGAAGAGGAGCAGGAGCUCUCGUUUUUAACCGUGCCCAGUUGUUAGUUUUGCUAUUUUUGCCAUUUUUUUGGUUAAUUUUGGCAAACUUUGUCUAAAUUUGAAUUGUGUAAUUCCUGAAAAGUUUAAUAUACUCGGAUAAACUUGUGAAAAUUAGCAACUUUGAAAGGCCCUUUGAUCAAGUCGUUAAUAUGAGUAUUUGAAAUGUAUCAGUUGCACCUGCACAUAAUUUUAGUAAUUAGUUCAUGGGAAUGGAAUUGCCUAAUAGGUUAAGACAUGGGUUUCUCAUGGAUUGCCUAUUAGAUGCUGUUUGAAAACUGAAUUGUCGAAACUUGAAAGUUUUGAAUCACCUUUUAGCAUAUUAUUAGGAGUUGAACUCUAAGUUUUUGAUCAUGUGAUCCUUUAUGUUCGGUUGAUGAAAUGAGCUCGCAAGAAUUUGAGGCCGGUUACCGGCCAAAGCCUGAUUUGCUAAAAGCUAUUGCAGUAUUUGCAGCAGCUGGAACUGGGUAGUGGCAAUUAACCAAUCCUGGGUUGCUGCCAAUUAGAUAACAUUUUAUUUCCAGCAUGGUUGUUGAAAGGUGCCUUUCCCAUGAUUUCGAGUUGCCUUGGCACGGCGGUUUGGAAUAGGAUGCGUGGGCAUCAUUUUUGAAGAAUCGCUGGCCAUGAACAAAAGUGGAGUAGGUUUGUUAAUGUUUGUCUACAUUUGUUUGUGGUGCAGGGUGGAUGAGCUUAAAAUCUUGACCGAGGAAUAUUUAGUCGAUAUGGCUAUCAAGGAAGCAUUUAAGGGAACCCCUCCGAAGUGGCGUCCUAGACUGCCUCGCCUACUCCGGCUACCCUCAGGAGCGGUCGUGGGCUUAUCAGCCAUGUAUGCUCAUUGUUCACUUGCUUGCGCAUGCCUUUUCUUCUUCCUCCCAUCUAUGUUGGCGCUUUUUCAUAAGGGCUACUCAAAGGCUUGUUGGCAUGUGCAAGCAAGAAAAACUACUCAAAGGCGCUACUCACGUGUACGGCAGCCUGAGCGCGUGGAGGUCUCGAUUGAUUCCAUGGUCUAAUUUUUCGCGAAUCGCAAUCCGACGGUGGCGAUUGCGUCGGCGUAGAACCAAUCGACAAAAGUGGAUCUCUUCAAUGCGUAUUUUCGACGAGCCAGUUUGGAAUGCAAUGGCCAGAUUAGUGGCAAUGAAGCAGUCGCUUUCUUCCAGGGCUCCGGUCUCCCCAAACAG